UGGGGAAUAUUGCACAAUGGGCGCAAGCCUGAUGCAGCCAUGCCGCGUGUAUGAAGAAGGCCUUCGGGUUGUAAAGUACUUUCAGCGGGGAGGAAGGUGUUGUGGUUAAUAACCACAGCAAUUGACGUUACCCGCAGAAGAAGCACCGGCUAACUCCGUGCCAGCAGCCGCGGUAAUACGGAGGGUGCAAGCGUUAAUCGGAAUUACUGGGCGUAAAGCGCACGCAGGCGGUCUGUCAAGUCGGAUGUGAAAUCCCCGGUCUCAACCUGGGAACUGCAUCCGAAACUGGCAGGCUUGAGUCUUGUAGAGGGGGGUAGAAUUCCAGGUGUAGCGGUGAAAUGCGUAGAGAUCUGGAGGAAUACCGGUGGCGAAGGCGGCCCCCUGGACAAAGACUGACGCUCAGGUGCGAAAGCGUGGGGAGCAAACA
Molecule: ribosomal RNA, 427 nt
Filed under: uncultured bacterium
Lineage: Bacteria
Description: partial 16S ribosomal RNA
Rfam family: Bacterial small subunit ribosomal RNA
Source: RNAcentral